Molecule: ribosomal RNA, 480 nt
Filed under: uncultured bacterium
Lineage: Bacteria
Description: bacterial SSU rRNA
Rfam family: Bacterial small subunit ribosomal RNA
Source: RNAcentral
CUACGUGCCAGCAGCCGCGGUAAUACGGAAGGUCCAGGCGUUAUCCGGAUUUAUUGGGUUUAAAGGGAGCGUAGGCCGUGGAUUAAGCGUGUUGUGAAAUGUAGACGCUCAACGUCUGAAUUGCAGCGCGAACUGGUUCACUUGAGUAUGCACAACGUAGGCGGAAUUCGUCGUGUAGCGGUGAAAUGCUUAGAUAUGACGAAGAACUCCGAUUGCGAAGGCAGCUUACGGGAGCACAACUGACGCUGAAGCUCGAAGGUGCGGGUAUCAAACAGGAUUAGAUACCCUGGUAGUCCGCACAGUAAACGAUGGAUGCCCGUUGUUAGUUCACUUAAGAAUUAGCGACCAAGCGAAAGCAUUAAGCAUCCCACCUGGGGAGUACGCCGGCAACGGUGAAACUCAAAGGAAUUGACGGGGGCCCGCACAAGCGGAGGAACAUGUGGUUUAAUUCGAUGAUACGCGAGGAACCUUACCCGGGCU